RNAcentral lists this long non-coding RNA (3033 nucleotides) under Marmota monax (woodchuck). The record is from RNAcentral. Lineage: Eukaryota; Metazoa; Chordata; Mammalia; Rodentia; Sciuridae.
CUGAAGAACAACCUGCUACGCUUUCUUUCUAGAUCAGGGAAGAUACCUCUACUGACAAAAUUUUUAAGAGGCAAAGAAAAUAGAUAUGAGUUUUGAUUGUAGCAUGGAUUAUAUUUAUUAAGUGUUUCAAGUAUGCUAGCAAAUUUCUAAUGAACAAAUGUGAUUUUCAAAUAAAUUACCAAACAAUAGUCUGAGUGGCUUCCCAUCUUCUACAGAUACCUACUUGUUCCUAAAGGACUUCUGAGUCAUGAGCCAUCCCUGGAAAUGUCCUUCCUUACGGUUUUCUUUGCACAACAGAGCUGCUCCUGAAACCUUGUGCUUAGAACUGUGGAUGAAAUCCUGUGGGGGUCACGGGAACUGGGGAAGUUAGGUCACUGGAGGAAUCCAUCAGGACUCCCCUCCUGCCCCUGUUCACACCUCCCACGUGGGGUGUGAAUCUGGCCUCUGAAGCACCAACUUGCUCACAAAAAAAGCUCAUUUGGGCUAAGAAAAUGGAAAUUAAAGAGGUGGAUUGGUUGGCCUUCAAGACAGACUGUAGGACCACCCGGCCUUCAACCCACAGGAAGGCCCAGUCCCUUCGUGAAAGUUUCCAAAACAUCUUCAUUCUUCUACUUGGAAACUGCCACACCUGAAUUAAGUGUCCCUUAGGUCACAGGAUGCUGCAAGUGGCAAGUACCUCACACCAUGCAAGUCCAGUCCCUCUCCUCCUUCCCCCCGAUUCUACAGAUGAGAAAACAGAGCUUCAGAGAGAGCAAGCUUCAGUCCAGACUCAAGGAAGUGGACCCAACAGCCCACCCGCCUCCAUUACCCAACCUCUGAAUGUCUCAGGAGGUGGCAGCACUGCUGGCCAUUCCCAAGAGGAAGCCCAUUGUGGGUUUCUCUUUUUUCUCCUCUGCAUCAAGUUCAUGAGGGACACACGUGAUGGGAAGAGGGACAUGAGGCAAUGCAAGGCCACCUUGGGAAAGGAGCAUGUCACUCAGCCUCUGCAAUGGCUGUACAACAGACCAUCAGCAGGGUCCUGUGUCCCAGCAGGGAGACUGAGCAAAUUGUCUGCCUGCCUGUUAAUAGGUACCCAGCACACCUCAGAAAUCCUGGGACAAGGGACAGAUUAUCUUAGCUCUCUUUGUGUGGCAACAAUUGUGGCCAGGGCUGCAGAGGAGCCGGGCAGCUUCCUGCUCCCACUGCCAAGGCAGAUUGCUCAAGCACACGCGUCAUCCUCAGCCCACACACUGCCUUGUUAUUGCGAGCUGCAAAGGUCUUCCUCCUGCUGGCCCAUCUCCCUUUCUUUAGGAGCUGGUCUCUAGAACCAGAGAAGCAAAUUUCUUCCUCUUCCUUUUGCCUGGCUUUCUUCCAGGGCCUCCUUCCUCACCCUCUCUCCACAUUAAUCCCUGUCUGACUGCCUCGACUCAGAAUUCAGACCUGGUACUGCAGAGCACCUUGGGCACCUUGCCCUGGCCUGGCUGCCAGGCCUGAGGCCUGCCUGCUCCACUGGCACCUGUCUUCACCCUAAUUACUUUCCUGUUGACAUGCACUGGAGCCAGUGUCUCCCCACACCCGCCCCGGCACUCCUUCACAGCUUCCUAUGCCAGUCCCACUCUGUUUUUCUUUGCCUCCAGGAUGUGUCCAGAACAUAGCAGUCACCUGUCACCACGAGCUUGUGAAAUAACACCUAAAGCUUCAGGGUGCACCUUUAGAUGCUCUCUGUUAGGGCAUUUGGCUAGGGCUUGUUGGCCACAACUGUCCAUCACAGAACAUGUACAUAGUAUCUGAUGAUCUUUGGACAAGAAGGGACUCGCUGAGAAGCCAGCUGAUACACCCUUCAGUCUUCUAGUUAACAUAUCGAACCACCCCAGACGAUAAAACUUACUUGUUUUGAGACAUUAAAAAAUGAGGUUCCCUGUCUGACUUACUUCACUUAGCACAAUGUCUAUCAUCCGUGGGGUGGAAAUGCUAGGAUCUCCUCUUUUUAAAGAUUGAAUAAUAUUCCAGUGUAUACACAUAGCACAUUUCCUUUAUCCACUUUCCCACCAGUGGAUACCAAUGUUAUUUGAAUAUCUUGGCUACUGUGAAUAAGACUUCAAUAAACAAAGGAGUGCAGAUAUCUUCACGAGGUGGUAAUUUCUUCUCCUUUGGGUGUAGAGCAGAAGAGGGAUUGCUGGAUUGUAUAAUGGUUCUAUUUUUGAUUUCUUUAGGAACCACCUUCUGUUUACCCUAAUGGCUGCACCAACCUACUUACAUUCCUGAGUGAGACAGAGCUCCCCUUCUCCAUGUCUGGCUAAUAUUUAUUACCUCCUUUUUGAUAAGCCAGAUAUAGAAUGAAAAAAAAAACUGCAUUGUUUCACAUAUAUGUGAAAUGGAAAAGAAAAAAAGGAGAUCAGAUACUCAGAGAUGAGUGUCAAACAGUGGGUACCACCAGCAGCAGGGAGGAGAGAAAACGGGAGAUGUGGGUCAAAGGAUACAAAAGUGCAGACACAUAGGAGGAAAGUCUAGAGCUCAAUCACAACACAGGAGUAAGGCUAAUGCAUUGUGUUGAAUUAGGGAGUUUUGCUAAAUAAGUUAAUUUCAGCUAUUCUUGUCAUGAAAAAGUAACUGUGAGAUGCUGGGGAUGUUCACCUGCUUCACCAUAGGAACCCUUUUGCUUUCUAUAUGGAUCCCAUAAUGUCAUGUCACUAAUCUCAAAUAUGCACAAUAAAAUUUAUUUAAAGAAGAGAAAGAUACAUAGGGUUCCACAACUUUUGCUCACCCUUUUUCAUGGGAAACAAAGUACAAAACUGAUGAGGAUAAAAGUUGUUACACAGUCCCCAAAAUGAGGAAGGGAUGAGCCUUUGUCUCCCACUGCCAAGGCAAGAGCCAUGGGGCGAUGCUCCUCUGUCUUCCUCUGAGACCUGCAGGAGCAGGAGACCAGGUGCAGGCUGCCCUGCCUCCGGCCAGCUCUCCCCUGACGGAGCAGGUGGGCACCGUGGUCCUGAACAACCACACCUGGGGAACCAGGAGACUUGGUAGACAGCAGAUAUGAAAUCCUGCCUGUCAUCC